UGGAGAGAUGGCCGAGCGGUUGAAGGCGCAGCACUGGAAAUGCUGUUUAGGGGUAACUUUAACGAGGGUUCGAAUCCCUCUCUCUCCGUCC
Molecule: transfer RNA, 91 nt
Filed under: Microcystis viridis NIES-102
Lineage: Bacteria; Bacillati; Cyanobacteriota; Cyanophyceae; Chroococcales; Microcystaceae
Also listed under: 7 other names
Description: tRNA-Ser
Rfam family: tRNA
About the family: Transfer RNA (tRNA) molecules are approximately 80 nucleotides in length. Their secondary structure includes four short double-helical elements and three loops (D, anti-codon, and T loops).
Source: RNAcentral